This 246-nucleotide ribosomal RNA is filed under the name uncultured bacterium. RNAcentral describes it as "partial 16S ribosomal RNA". It matches the Rfam family "Bacterial small subunit ribosomal RNA", at positions 28 to 273 of the family's 1533-position model. The record is from RNAcentral.
GACGAACGCUGGCGGCGUGCUUAACACAUGCAAGUCGAGCGGUAAGGCCCUUUCGGGGGUACGACGAGCGGCGAACGGGUGAGUAACACGUGGGUGACCUGCCCUCAGCUCUGGGAGUAAGCCUGGGAAACCGGGGUCUAAUACUGGAUAUGACUCCAUGACGCAUGUUGUGGGGUGGAAAGCCUUGUGCGGCUGAGGAUGGGCCCGCGGCCUAUCAGCUUGUUGGUGGGGUGAGGCCUACCAAGG